GCACUGAAUGAGAUUUUAACACGAAGUGAGUGGCGGACGGGUGAGUAACACGUGGGCAACCUGCCCAGAAGCAGGGGAUAACACCUGGAAACAGAUGCUAAUACCGUAUAACAGAGAAAACCGCCUGGUUUUCUUUUAAAAGAUGGCUCUGCUAUCACUUCUGGAUGGACCCGCGGCGCAUUAGCUAGUUGGUGAGGUAACGGCUCACCAAGGCGAUGAUGCGUAGCCGACCUGAGAGGGUAAUCGGCCACAUUGGGACUGAGACACGGCCCAGACUCCUACGGGAGGCAGCAGUAGGGAAUCUUCCACAAUGGACGCAAGUCUGAUGGAGCAACGCCGCGUGAGUGAAGAAGGGUUUCGGCUCGUAAAGCUCUGUUGUUAAAGAAGAACGUGGGUGAGAGUAACUGUUCACCCAGUGACGGUUUUAACCAGAAAGCCACGGNUAACUACGUGCCAGCAGCCGCGGUAAUACAA
RNAcentral lists this ribosomal RNA (474 nucleotides) under Pediococcus acidilactici. Its description in RNAcentral is "bacterial SSU rRNA". It matches the Rfam family "Bacterial small subunit ribosomal RNA", at positions 64 to 528 of the family's 1533-position model. Lineage: Bacteria; Bacillati; Bacillota; Bacilli; Lactobacillales; Lactobacillaceae. The record is from RNAcentral.